UACGGAGGGGGCUAGCGUUGUUCGGAAUUACUGGGCGUAAAGGGCGUGUAGGCGGCCUGCCAAGUCAGAUGUGAAAGCCCCGGGCUUAACCUGGGAACUGCAUUUGAGACUGGCCGGCUCGAGGUUGGAAGAGGAGAGUGGAAUUCCCAGUGUAGAGGUGAAAUUCGUAGAUAUUGGGAAGAACACCGGUGGCGAAGGCGGCUCUCUGGUCCACACCUGACGCUGAGGCGCGAAAGCGUGGGGAGCGAACGGG
This 253-nucleotide ribosomal RNA is filed under the name uncultured bacterium. RNAcentral describes it as "partial 16S ribosomal RNA". It matches the Rfam family "Bacterial small subunit ribosomal RNA", at positions 524 to 776 of the family's 1533-position model. The record is from RNAcentral.